CGGGGCUUAGCUCAGUUUGGCAGAGUGCUCGGUUUGGGACCGAGAGGUCACUGGUUCGAAUCCAGUAGCCCCGACCA
This 77-nucleotide transfer RNA is filed under the name Chloroflexota bacterium. RNAcentral's name for it is "Chloroflexi bacterium tRNA-Pro". It matches the Rfam family "tRNA". From Rfam's summary of the family: Transfer RNA (tRNA) molecules are approximately 80 nucleotides in length. Their secondary structure includes four short double-helical elements and three loops (D, anti-codon, and T loops). RNAcentral also lists the same sequence under 1 other name. The record is from RNAcentral. Lineage: Bacteria; Bacillati; Chloroflexota.